This 505-nucleotide ribosomal RNA is filed under the name uncultured bacterium. RNAcentral describes it as "partial 16S ribosomal RNA". It matches the Rfam family "Bacterial small subunit ribosomal RNA", at positions 29 to 523 of the family's 1533-position model. The record is from RNAcentral.
AGUGAACGCUGGCGGUAUGCCUAACACAUGCAAGUAGAACGGCAGCACAGAGGAGCUUGCUCCUGGGGUGGCGAGUGGCGGACGGUGAGGAAUACAUCGGAAUCUACUCUGUCGUGGAGGAUCACGUAGGGAAACUUACGCUAAUACCGCAUACGACCUACGGGUGAAAGCAGGGGCCCUUCGGACCUUGCGCGCUUGACUGAGCCGGUGGCGGAUUAGCUAGGUGGCGGGGUAAAGGCCCACCAAGGCGACGAUCCGUAGCUGGUCUGAGAGGAUGAUCAGCCACACUGGAACUGAGACACGGUCCAGACUCCUACGGGAGGCAGCAGUGGGGAAUAUUGGACAAUGGGCGCAAGCCUGAUCCAGCCAUACCGCGUGGGUGAAGAAGGCCUUCGGGUUGUAAAGCCCUUUUGUUGGGAAAGGAAUCCAGCUGGCUAAUACCCGGUCGGGAUGACGGUACCCAAAGAAUAAGCACCGGCUAACUUCGUGCCAGCAGCCGCGGUAA